AUGGUCACUUUGGCAACAUGCAUACUCAGAUGAGAGGGUUACAGAGAACAUUCACACGGCCCUUCACAAGGAUGACACGCAAGUUCUUGAAACAUUCCAUAUUGAA
This is a small nuclear RNA of Neogale vison (American mink), 106 nucleotides long. The record is from Ensembl. NCBI's taxonomy places the organism in Eukaryota, Metazoa, Chordata, Mammalia, Carnivora, Mustelidae.